Molecule: ribosomal RNA, 118 nt
Filed under: Jeotgalibacillus campisalis
Lineage: Bacteria; Bacillati; Bacillota; Bacilli; Caryophanales; Caryophanaceae
Source: RNAcentral
GUCUAGUGAUGAUAGCGAAGAGGUCACACCCGUUCCCAUGCCGAACACGGAAGUUAAGCUCUUCAGCGCCGAUGGUAGUUGGGGGUCUCCCCCUGCGAGAGUAGGACGUCGCUAGGCA